ACCCUCCACAAAUUCUCAUCAAAAGCACGCAUCCAAUAGACAGCAACAGCAGAGAGCAGCCAAACUGCAGCAGCAAGUGUAAGUGUAAGUGUGUGUUAUAAGUUAAUUAGAAACAACUAAGAACAAGAACAACUCUUGCAUAAGAACAGUAGUAAGUAAUGCAUAAGCAAUUUCACUGGUUUAUUUUUUUGGCCCCAAAAUACUAGCCCCACUCUUGCAGGUACCCAACUCAGCACAAAAAAAAUUUAAUAGCCCUACAAUAUUAUAUCUUACUAAAUACUAUAGUCAAGAGCACCUACGCACACCAUCAGCAGACUAGAGAAUGACCGAAAUACCCUCUAAACAAACAUUAGAGGGCUGUUUCGGAAAUUCACCAGUCUGUUGACGGGACU
This 392-nucleotide long non-coding RNA is filed under the name Panax ginseng (ginseng). RNAcentral's name for it is "long non-coding RNA (PGIN_LNC005014)". Lineage: Eukaryota; Viridiplantae; Streptophyta; Magnoliopsida; Apiales; Araliaceae. The record is from RNAcentral.